RNAcentral lists this transfer RNA (72 nucleotides) under Crassvirales sp. RNAcentral describes it as "tRNA-Cys". It matches the Rfam family "tRNA". Rfam says of the family: Transfer RNA (tRNA) molecules are approximately 80 nucleotides in length. Their secondary structure includes four short double-helical elements and three loops (D, anti-codon, and T loops). Further hydrogen bonds mediate the characteristic L-shaped molecular structure. tRNAs have two regions of fundamental functional importance: the anti-codon, which is responsible for specific mRNA codon recognition, and the 3' end, to which the tRNAs corresponding amino acid is attached (by aminoacyl-tRNA synthetases). tRNAs cope with the degeneracy of the genetic code in two manners: having more than one tRNA (with a specific anti-codon) for a particular amino acid; and 'wobble' base-pairing, i.e. permitting non-standard base-pairing at the 3rd anti-codon position. The record is from RNAcentral. Lineage: Duplodnaviria; Heunggongvirae; Uroviricota; Caudoviricetes; Crassvirales.
CUCUAGGAUUCCGAAUGGUUAGGAGCUGGUCUGCAAAACCAGUAUUUGUGGGUUCAAUUCCCACCCUAGAGU